CUCUCAAUAGCUCAGCUGGAAGAGGUUCGUGGACCGGCGACUUGGGUUUCGAAUUAAUUUCUAACUUCCAACCAGCGCAAGACUGUAAUAGAUCACGGCUGUAUCAUCUUGAGGCCCGCGGUUCGAUCCCGCGUUGGGAGA
This 141-nucleotide transfer RNA is filed under the name Dothistroma septosporum NZE10. RNAcentral describes it as "tRNA-Ala for anticodon GGC". The record is from RNAcentral. Lineage: Eukaryota; Fungi; Ascomycota; Dothideomycetes; Mycosphaerellales; Mycosphaerellaceae.